CCAGUGCGGACGCGAUGUGUGCAUACUUGCUUGGAGGCAGAUUUGUGCAUUCGUUCUGUGCCCUCGCCCUUAAAAACGGGGAUCGCGGCUGUAUCCUUCACGCGAAAAAAGGAUUCAUGUUUCUUUGCGUCCAUCCGCCGCUGGAUCACCCACUGCACAGCUCUCAAAGCUCUCCGAACUCCGUCAUCCGCAUGCACAGCUCUCAAAAGCGACCAGUGGAUGAUCCAACGGUGGAUGGGCACGAAGGAUACAACCACUUCAAAUGGGCGGACGCGCCACCCGGCGUCUCGCUUAUAACCGGCACUGAGAACGGUGACGUGCUGCCUAAGUUUUCUCAACGUUCGGAAUUCGGACGACCUCCAUCUGUAAAUAUAAGCACAGUAGGAGUAGCCCUAAAAAAAAUAAUAAAACAAAUUCCCUUUCUUUUUCAACAGUAGCAGCGAGGGAAUGGGAAGGGGCGAGGGAGGGUUUCCUUCGCUGAUAAUUUCUUCCUCGCCGCAAGAGCAAGACGACGGGAGGGAGAAGAUAGCCUCCGGCAUUACAGAGGUUUGAUCAGUGUAUUUCGAGGGUUUGUUUAUUGAUACAAAGCCUAAGACUGGUGAAGCAGUUUAAUUUUUUUUUCCUCUCUCUCCGUGAAGAUAUAUGGCUCUGUCUGGAUCUACUUGUUCAGAGGUUUUCUUCAUUUGAAUUUGGGUUGAAAAACAAAAGAACAUGAUGAGAGAAGUUGUUUCGUGUGUUUCUCAAUUGGUUUUUCUUGUUAUGAUGUUUUUUUGUUCAUUAUUGUGGUAGAAUUGAUGUGUUUCUUUUUGGGUUUGUAGGUUUUGAUAAAUGCUAUCAGAUCAAGGGUUCAUUGGAAUCAAGAACAGGUAGACAGCAUAUCGAAUUGAUUGUGAUUAAAAUGUUUAAAGCUGGUCAAGAAGGUUUGAUAUUCUUUCCAUUGAAGGCAUUUCUCAUGUCGUUCUUAGAAAUCUACAGUCCUUUCAUGAUAUUUCCCCCCAAGGACUUCCGCGUCCCAUUUGCAGGCAUUUGGCUUAGUCUGGAUAUUAAAUUAUUUCUGAGGUGUUUGGGGAUUCAAAUAUUGGGUCUCUGUAUUUUGGAGGGAAGCAUGAAAUUGGUUAUCCAAGAAGCUGCAUCUCCCAAAAGACAAGAUCUUACUAGUUUCUUGCCAAUAAUGAAUUUCAGUAUAGUGAAAAUCUCUCUGUUUUUUUUCCCCCUUCUUUUGAGAAAUAGUGGAGAAAUAGUGGGAGGAAAAUCUUUGAUGUUUCUGAAAAUCUUUGGGUCUGGUCAAUAUUUUUUAAGAUAAAGGAAAAUACUGGUAAAUGCAAAGAAGAUAUUGGAAAAUAUAAAAUACUAAUACUUUUAAAAAGUAUAUCAGAAAUCAUUUUUAGUCAUAAGCUCAUAAUUCACUGUCUUCUGAGAAUUUUAUACAUGAGAUAAAGCUUAGGCCCAAAAUCUUUGCUUUCAGAAAUGGAAAAGAAUAUUAAUAUUAAUUCUGUUUGCCUAUGGACAGUUAUCCUAAAUUUGGGUUUUUUUAUGAAAUGUGGCAAAAUCUUGCUGUAUACUGUUGAGAGGUAAGAUAGUUGUGCUUUUCAAUAUUUUCAAAUAUAAAAACAAUUUCUUGGUGUGCAUGGUUUUGCCUAAACGUUAUUAUAUUCCAAAUUGCUCCUAGACUUGAGAUUUAUUGAAAUUAAAAAAACUCAAGCCAGCAAUCGUGAAUUAGUUGGUUGGGGCUCACAUCUUGCCUUUUGUAAAUUUGAACAUGGACCAAAUAAAUCUCAACUUACAAAUUCUCUAGAAAUACUAUGAUUAACUUUUAGAUUGAUUGAGUUUGGCCUUGCACCAAAAUGCAGCUUUAGUACCUUGUUGCAUAUGCCACAAUUUUGCCAUACUGGUGCCUCCACUACUAUGUUUUCAAACCUCCAUUUUCAUGUGUUCAUUGAGAUCAAAAAACAAGGUUACCUUCUCUUCUCAUGGACAUAAAUUGACUAAAUUGCAUCUCUAAUUGAUCAACCAUGUGUUUUUUCUCCCUCAGCAUUUCAAACAGUUCAGUGGCGAUCUAUGUGAAGUUUCACGCCAUUAAGGGAAAUCGCCUCAUGAUUCUUCUUGUUAGUGCCAUGACCAAACAACGUUCUUGUUUCUACACUUUGGCACUAUUGGUGCAUUUCAUAAUACACCUAGAGCACCUUCAUUGACUCCUUUCUAUCUUUUUUUACUGGAGCUUUGUGCCUAUGUUAGCUCUAUAUGGACUUGCUCUAAUCCACUUUAGAAAUCUAAGUGAGCUUCAUUGUAGUAAUGCAUGGAGAAAUUUUUGGCUGUGCUAUGCAAUUUCUCUUUCUAAAAUGGUAUAGUGAUUUUGAGGGCUUUCAUGAUAUCUUAGAUAAUAAUGCAUCUAGGUAUUAGGCGAAAAGCAUCACAAAAGCCUUAGCUGGUGCAUGCUUUCUGCAGUAGCUAUUUUAUUUGUAAGCAAAUUCUGAGUGCAUACUAAACUGCCCUUUUUUCCUUCUAGAAUCAUCCCUUAUUUUAUCUAAACAAUAUUUGUGCUGCUACAAAUGCUUUUCAAGAUCCUAAACUUCGGGUUUCAGGGGCUGGUCAAAGGGUAGAGCAGUCAAAAGGAGAACAUUGCCAAAUGUAUAUGUCCCUUGAUCAGCUCAACAAGGCAGCAAAUCCUGAAGCACACUUCACAAGCACUGGUACAUUUUUUAGGGAAUAAUUUUUUUACACCAUUUCAGUUUAUUACCGUCUAGGUUUCUGCACAAACAAUUGUUCAAUGUCCUAUCGCCAUUUUUGAUUCACAGAAAUUCUCUCUUUCUAAUAGCAUUCCUUCUUUUAUCAUCAGUUUCUUUCAUUUGUUCUUUCAUUUAUUCCUUCAAACCUUCUUUGUAGCGUAGUAGUCUGAUUUUGAUGUCAAGUUGAUCGGGUAACCAGUUUUUUUUGUCGCUUUCCUAACAUUGGUUGCAUGGCAUCCACCUCUAGUUCUACAUCCUUUAGGCGAUAUCUUUUAGUUCUCACUCCAAUUUAGGAAGCACUUCUCGUAGAAAUUUGAUGACGGGCAUUUCAAACCCAUGUUUAGGAGUGUCCGUCACGGGACAAGAUGUUUGCAAUUUGCAUUUUCUUUUUUCCCCCCUUGCAUGAAAUAAGCAUGGGGAAUCUCAUGGCUGGAUUAAUAGGCUCUACUUAAUAUAGAUACUUAUGUUAUGUAACUGUCACUAACUGGAGUAUCUUGAAUAUAUUAAGAUGGAGUGGCGAAAGGCCAACUCCAAAUACCAUGUGAAAGCUUCUUCAUUAUGAUUAUGGUAACUUAGAAGGCUAUCUUGUCUCGCAAUCUUAACCUAUUUGUUUGCAUAGUAUUCCAGAAUUAUGUCAUGAAUAAUGUGAAAUAUAUGACGGUUUCAUACGUACCUGGUAGCAACUGUAGUCAAACCCACUUCCCUGCCAUGAAAAUUGAAAAGUUGGUCCUUUCUACUUAAUUUUACAGUACUCAAAUGUAUUCACCUGUGAAAAUUAGCUUAGUGGUAAGAUGAUACUAGAAUUUGUAGAAUGAGAUAAAGAUUAGUCUUUAUAAGAUGUUCACAUUCUCACCUAUUUCCUAUGUCAGGCCUUCUUUAUCUGUCUUGACUUUUUAUACUGUUCUACUUUGGUUAAGCUAUAACCUUUCUAUUAGCUUAGUCUCGAAUCUGCUGUUUUCUCCUAUGCUCAUCGGAAUUGGUUUUUGCUCGCUUUGGGGCCUGAAAUGUGGAAAGACACAACAGGCAAAGUGGGCAUAUAUUUCAAGAUGAAAAAUCCAGCUCUGAAGAUCAUCUGUGUUGAACAUGCAGAAAGCGCAGUUAUCUCAGGGCCUGGUUUUGCUCCAAGAAACCUGGAUACUCUUCAACAAUGUGCGAGAGGAAUGUAUCAGUAUGACUUUCUGAAAGACAUCAUUUUUCAUUUAUGUCUCAAGUCAAUACAUUUCUCGCGGACAUCGCAUAUCUGUAAACACGAUCUUUGUAAAACCUUGUUCUAUUUGAAGCUUAAUAACAGAUGUUGCUAACAAAAA
Non-coding RNA from Phoenix dactylifera (date palm), 4033 nucleotides. NCBI's taxonomy places the organism in Eukaryota, Viridiplantae, Streptophyta, Magnoliopsida, Arecales, Arecaceae. The record is from RefSeq and is a predicted model, not a curated record.